Long non-coding RNA from Uloborus diversus, 327 nucleotides. RefSeq lists it as uncharacterized. The record is from RefSeq and is a predicted model, not a curated record. Lineage: Eukaryota; Metazoa; Arthropoda; Arachnida; Araneae; Uloboridae. The transcript has 3 exons.
GUCUUCCCUCGCCAUGUGAUUCCAAUGUCUGGAGUCAAAAAUAUUAAACAAUCCUUGCUUUAAAGUUUGAUCCAGUUUGCACAAUUGGGUGAAAAAUAACUUUUGGAUCAAAAAGUGUUUCAUCAAAAUUUAUUUAGAGGGCAAUAUUUUGGAUAAGUUACUGAACUAAAGGAUCCAAAAGGAAUAAAGAUUUGGAAAAAGUGAUUCAACCAAGUUUUGAAAAAUUUGACCAUAAUUUCUCUUCUGAAAAAGUUUAUUUGUAAUUAUGUUGUUAUUUAACUUGUAAUUAGUGUAAAAUAAACCUUUUUGAUGUUUUAACUUCUUUGU